CAAACAAAAAUCUAUUCUUAAUUAAACAAUAUUGCUUGAGCGUCUGCUGAGCAUAAUAACGAUGCUGCGAAAGUAAUUAUAUGAGCUUGGUAGUGUUUCUUUUUGAAUGACUUUUUUAGUAGCCGGCCAGGAACAUAUAAUCCUCCUUCAAGCAUGUUUCUGCCUCAGUUAACAAUGUCUUCCAAAAAGGAUGCUUGGCUCCUCUCAGCACAAGUCAGAGUGACAUUGAGAAUGCAUCAUCCUCAAUGAACGGGGUCAUGCUGCACCUUUGAGCGGCAAAAUGACUGCUUGAGCCGCUCUCCUCUGCGCAACAUACACUUAUAAGGCCAAUCAUGUGAAUUUCAUAAGAGAAAAGCGGCGGCGCGUUACAGCUGCUGUGGUCAGCGAUCUUUCAAGCAAGGAAAGAUUUACAAUAACAUCAGGAUAUAUUUGGUGAGGCACUGCUUCCCCUGGUUGUAGACACUCUGCUUGCCUCGUCAACAAAAUGUAGCUUAUCUGAUAUUCUUCUUGCAGUCACGGCUUGAUUAGCAUAUUUCUCAGUUUUUUUAAACUCAUUGUUGUCCAGGAACACAUGACAGAUACAUUCAUUGUACUACAUCACACUGCUACAGUAUUUACAUCAUGAUAAGCAGGAGCAGAAAAACGUUGGCUAGCGUCAUGUACGGUAAAUACACUUGGCAAAUAAGUGUAAUAUGUAAUGUAAGUACAGUGAAACAUACUAUCAACAACCUAUCAAUAUUCUGUGUUUUAAUCUCUUUUGAUCACAGCUGAACUAUUGAACUCAAGAAAUCACUUGAAUUACAUGAGUGAAAACGGAAUAUUUUCUUGAAAAAACUCUGCCCCCUAAAGGAAACAAAUGAAACGCGUGCUCAUGGUCGUCCAGCGCCCUUCGCCCAGUUUGAAAACCACAGAGUUAGAGCUUUAGGCAUUGGUGUCAAAGGUUCCGGUGGGCUGUCAAGCUGAGAUGUGUCGGACAUGCAAGUCAUAGAGGGAUUUUACAGCUGAAGGCUGGGUCCACAACGUUGGCAACACUGCAAACCUCAAGGCAAUCAUCUUUGAAAGGGAUUGCCUGUGAUGUGAAGUUCACAGAGACUGGACACGGUGGCUACAAACACAACUACAACUUGCAGAGGAGACUGAAGAAGACGGAUCAGGAUGUGACCAGUCCCGUCCCUACAGUCCCGUCCCUACAGUCCCGUCCCUACAGUCCCGUCCCUACAGUCCCGUCCCUACAGUCCCGUCCCUAAAGUCCCGUCCCUACAGUCCCGUCCCUACAGUCCCGUCCCUACAGUCCCGUCCCUAAAGUCCCGUCCCUACAGUCCCGUCCCUACAGUCCCGUCCCUAAAGUCCCGUCCCUACAGUCCCGUCCCUACAGUCCCGUCCCUACAGUCCCGUCCUUACAGUCCCGUCCCUAUAGUCCCGUCCCUACAGUCCCGUCCCUACAGUCCCGUCCCUACAGUCCCGUCCCUAAAGUCCCGUCCCUACAGUCCCGUCCCUACAGUCCCGUCCCAACAGUCCCUACAGUGAGAGCAUAGAUGCCCUGAUGAAUGUGGUCAGAAAUGAAGAAGCUGUGAAGGACUCUGCAUAUGCCUGCACGCCCUGGAGCGCCGCCACCUUCUUCCACCAAGCACUCAGCCUAUCCUGAACCCCAAAGUCUAAGCCGAAGCUUUACGUCUAACCCAGAAAUUAAACUUAGAAGAGAAAAUGCCAUAUAUGACAUAGAACAACGUGACAUUAAGGAACACAAGCUCAGCUGUGUGAUGUUAAGUGCUAACAUUAAACUCGCCAGCAACGUCAUGCAGCUCAAAUGUGAAGAACCACAAAAUUUUUUAAUUUUUUUUGUUUAAAAGGGACAGAAAUAUUUGAAAUAUUCACCUGAAACACAACAUAGAUUUGCAUCCUUUGUCAGCAAGCAGGGUUUAAGUUUCAGCAUUUGAUGUCAAAUAAAAGACACCAAUGGCCCCACUCACUGGACAAACUAUGACAUAACAACAAUGCAACAUGCAAUCGGGGGCUAAGUUAUUUGAUUUAUAAGUUAGGCUUCGAGAGGUGUUGGCAUUGGCAGCAGAGGCCACAACUCUCUUGGGUCCUGUGAUGGUCCAGUCCAGUCCAGUCCAGGCUUACUCUGCUCCUCACCCAAAGUUGGUUAGGACAGGCACCAUUCACAGCAUGGAUGGAUGGAAUUUUCAAGAUAUCAUUUUUCAUUAUUGUAGUUCUGCUUUUCAGGUUUACUUGGUAAUUAUUAAUUGAUAAAGCCGUUAUUCAUUUUACUAUCUUGGUUAUGGAAAGGAAUAGAAGUGUAUUUCCAGCCCUGCUCUAUAAUAAAAUAAUUUACCUCAAAUAACAUUUUAAUACAUUCUUCACAUUCUGUUUUGUAUUCCAUGCUUUGCGACUAAGGUGAGCCAUUUUGCUAACAUGGGACAAUUAUAUAAAAAAGCUCAUUUCAUUCCCAAUUUCCUUGUACAUUCUAAAAAGAAAAUAUUCCUUUGUUCCAGAAGACAGCUCAUUUGUCAUUUGUCAAUGUAAUGGUGAUUGCUUCAGACUGCAGUGGUGUGGACCUGCACUGCCUCACGCUGAGGUGUUGCUAAUAUUUGGGUUUCGCCGUAUGAGAGCAAGAGACAAGUCCUACAAAAUGACUGACACAUCAGAAAGUCAUCAAUAGGUUGAUCAACGUGUCAUGGCGGAAGCUCUCCAAGUCACUGGUGUGUGUGAGUGACAGGGAGAAAAGCCUGCUCAAGGAGAAGUUGUAUGACACCACCUGUUGGUUGCCUACAAGACUGUGAAACAUUCCAUCCAUUUAUUUCCUCAUGUAUUGUUAUUGUGCAUAACAAUGCUAACGAUAACUAAAUCACAUUUGAUGUAAAGGGAUCUCAGUUUCAGAAAUAUGGGCCAUUAUUAAAAAAAAUAUAUGUAUAUACACUCAGCAAUGACAUUAUGAUACGUAGUGUUCGAUACUGGUCACUAGGUGUCAGUAGUAUUACACUGUUGUCUAACGGCCACCGCAGGAAGUCCCGUUUGUUGUGAGAGUCCACUGAUGGUGUGUUGUUGAAAUAGUAACCUUCUUAUGUGUCUUAUUUAUGUCUCAUUUCCCUGUUUACGUUUCUAUUGGGCAAUACAGACG
Molecule: non-coding RNA, 3121 nt
Organism: Doryrhamphus excisus (bluestripe pipefish)
Lineage: Eukaryota; Metazoa; Chordata; Actinopteri; Syngnathiformes; Syngnathidae
Source: RefSeq, a predicted model, not a curated record